CUGAAGCUCACCGCUAGAGCUAAACUUUGUAGAACAGCAGUGUCAAACUUAGUUCCUGGAUGGCUAUAGUCCUGAACAGUUUAGUUCCAACCCUGCUCCAACACACAUACUUGUUUUAGACAAGCCUGAAGGACUCAUUUAGUUUGACCAGGUGUGUUUACUUAGGGUUGGAACUAAACUGUGCAGAGCUGCGGCCCUCGACCUGAGUUUGACACCUGUGCUGUAGAAUAUCUCAAAUUAAGUAAACAUUGUCCUGCCUUGAUCCAGGAGCAGGAGCAGUUCCGGGUGGGGCUGGGGUUCUACCUGGUGGCGCUGGAGUUCUUCCUGGUGGGGCUGGAGGAAUCUACCCUGCACCCGGAGGUAAAAAAAGAUAUAAAAGUAUAUAAAAAGAUAUUUGGAGCAACAGAAUGUGUUUAUGGUUUUAGUAAUGUCUUACAUUUUCAGUCUUUAACAUGUAAUUCAGAGUCUAUUUUAUUGGUCCUAUAACAGCUUUUCUAUCGAGACAACAUUAUCCUAUUCUCAUCUGUGACCUCAGUCCUAUCCUCACCCUCUCACUGUCUAAGAUGAAUGAUUUAUUAGGAAAAAGGAUGUCUUGCCAAAAACCGCUUGACAGUCAGUCUAUUAGAAUGAUAUAGUAGUGCUAAAUCUUUGUUGUUGUUGUUUACCUGUGUGUGAAGGUGCUGGUGCACUCUCCCCCGCUCAGGCAAAAGCUGCUAAAUAUGGUAAGCAUGUGUAUUUACUGAUAUACCUGGGUUACUUAAUUACAUCUCAAGUUAAUCUUACCUAAACAAGCCAAUAAAUGUCUUUAGUUAAAAGUACAAGAUAAAGCUCACUGUUCGACUUAGACUCUGUAGAACAAUAGUCCUCUUGCAGCAGGACUUAAGACACCUGAAACAUAAAAUUGGGAAUCUCAGAUUAAGUGUCCAUUGUCCUGCCUUUAUCCAGGAGCAGUUCCUGGUGGUGCUGGAGUUCUUCCUGGUGGUGCUGGAGUUCUUCCUGGUGGUGCUGGAGUUCUUCCUGGUGGGGCCGGGAUUGUGCCAGGAGCUGGAGGAGUCUAUCCUGCGCCAGGAGGUGCUGGUGCACUCUCCCCCGCUCAGGCAAAAGCUGCUAAAUAUGGUGCAGGAGCAGUUCCUGGUGGUGCCGGGAUUCUUCCUGGUGGUGCCGGGAUUCUUCCUGGUGGUGCUGGGAUUGGGCCAGGAGGAGUUUACCCUGGAACAGGAGGUGCUGGUGCACUCUCCCCUGCUCAGGCAAAAGCUGCUAAAUAUGGUGCAGGAGCAGUUCCUGGUGGGGCUGGGGUUCUUCCUGGUGGUGCCGGUAUUGUUCCAGGUAGGACUGGGAUUGUUCCUGCUGGACCUGGGAUUGUUCCAGGAGCUGGGGGAGUCUACCCUGCAACAGGAGGUCUUACACCAGCUCAAGCCAAAGCAGCUAAAUACGGUCUAGGUGCGGCAGGUGGAGCUGGUGCUGUUCCGGGUGUUGGAGGACUGUACCCUGGAGCAGGGGGAGCUGGAGUUGCCCCAGGCUAUGGUUCUGUGGCUGGGCUUGGAGGACAGCUUGGGGCUGGAGGGCUAGCAGCUGGAGCCAAACCUCCUAAAUAUGGUAAGGGCUUGACUCUUUUCUGUUUCAGCUGUCUUGGCAGUGUUAUUCAGCUGUUUGUACAUGUGUUGCUCUACAGUUUGUGUUUGAAUGUUGUUUGUAAUAGAAAAUAG
Molecule: long non-coding RNA, 1706 nt
Organism: Danio rerio (zebrafish)
Lineage: Eukaryota; Metazoa; Chordata; Actinopteri; Cypriniformes; Danionidae
Source: Ensembl